GACGUAGGGCGCAAGCGUUGUCCGGAUUUAUUGGGCGUAAAGAGCUCGUAGGCGGCUUGUCGCGUCGUCCGUGAAAACCCACAGCUCAACUGUGGGCUUGCGGUCGAUACGGGCAGGCUAGAGUUCGGUAGGGGAGACUGGAAUUCCUGGUGUAGCGGUGAAAUGCGCAGAUAUCAGGAGGAACACCGGUGGCGAAGGCGGGUCUCUGGGCCGAUACUGACGCUGAGGAGCGAAAGCGUGGGGAGCGAACAGG
RNAcentral lists this ribosomal RNA (253 nucleotides) under uncultured bacterium. RNAcentral's name for it is "partial 16S ribosomal RNA". It matches the Rfam family "Bacterial small subunit ribosomal RNA", at positions 524 to 776 of the family's 1533-position model. The record is from RNAcentral.